ACGCUGGCGGCGUGCUUAACACAUGCAAGUCGAACGAGAAAUGUUAUUAUGAUCUCUUCGGAGUGAUGAUUUUAUUUCGAGUGGCGGACGGGUGAGUAACGCGUGAGCAACCUGCCCUAUACCGGGGGAUACCAGUUGGAAACGACUGUUAAUACCGCAUAAGCGCACGAUAAGACAUCUUGUUGUGUGAAAAACUCCGGUGGUAUAGGAUGGGCUCGCGUAUGAUUAGCCAGUUGGCGGGGUAAAGGCCCACCAAAGCGACGAUCAUUAGCCGACCUGAGAGGGCGACCGGCCACAUUGGGACUGAGACACGGCCCAAACUCCUACGGGAGGCAGCAGUGGGGAAUAUUGCACAAUGGGCGAAAGCCUGAUGCAGCGACGCCGCGUGAGUGAGGAAGUAUUUCGGUAUGUAAAGCUCUAUCAGCAGGGAAGAAAGAAAUGACGGUACCUGAGUAAGAAGCUCCGGCUAAAUACGUGCCAGCAGCCGCGGUAAUACGUAUGGAGCAAGCGUUAUCCGGAUUUACUGGGUGUAAAGGGAGCGUAGGCGGCAGAGCAAGUCUGAUGUGAAAGCCCGGGGCUCAACCCCGGUAGUGCAUUGGAAACUGUUCAGCUCGAGUGUCGGAGGGGUAAGCGGAAUUCCUGGUGUAGCGGUGAAAUGCGUAGAUAUCAGGAAGAACACCGGAGGCGAAGGCGGCUUACUGGACGAUUACUGACGCUGAGGCUCGAAAGCGUGGGGAGCGAACAGGAUUAGAUACCCUGGUAGUCCACGCUGUAAACGAUGAAUACUAGGUGUCGGUACCCGAAGGGUAUCGGUGCCGUCGCAAACGCAUUAAGUAUUCCACCUGGGGAGUACGUUCGCAAGAAUGAAACUCAAAGGAAUUGACGGGGACCCGCACAAGCUUAAUUCGAUGCA
Molecule: ribosomal RNA, 913 nt
Filed under: uncultured bacterium
Lineage: Bacteria
Description: bacterial SSU rRNA
Rfam family: Bacterial small subunit ribosomal RNA
Source: RNAcentral